GCCGAGAUGGCGUCCGAUUUGCAAUGAUAGGAUACAUGAUUAUAACUGGAAGACGUCUAAUGCGAUAUGUAACAUGCUUGGAUACGCCUCAGGGCAACCUCUCUCCUGAUAAGAUUAAAAGAAUGAAAUUGAUCAUGCCGAUUGAUUAUAUGUAUGCACUGACACAACUGGACUGUACUGAGCCUAUGAGCAAUGGCGGAUCCCCCAGCCAUUUACUGAGGUGCAGUUACCAGCUCUACACGCAUAACGAAGUGUGUGGGAGACCUAUCAUCUUGAAGUGCACCAUGCCAAAAGGUCAACCUCUCAUACUAAGAAAUUUCGUAUCAUACAACGGUCAAGUUCAAUUAUGUCCUCCUGAUGAGGUAAUCGAUGAUUCAACGUACCCUGCGCGACAGGUGUCAUUUGGGAUUGUAUCAACCUAUCUCCACUCAUUCUGGGGUUCGCUAAACGAGAAUUCAUCAUCAAUGGUGGGAUAUGAUCAGACCAAUAACAUAUGCAAGCAGCUUGGUUUCACUGGGGCUGUUAGGGAUAGUGCUCGGACCGUUAGCAGUUACAAAGGACAAUACUCAUUCACAAACUGUCAUGGAGACAAAUCUGGUCUUCAGCGUGCGUGGCUGACAGUAUCUCAGACAUCACGAUGCAACUCCAACCCCUGUUCGUGUUUUUCUUGUUGCUAUGAGCAACCAGAAGACGGGCACCAAUGUUCAGUGGCAGAGCUGCAGACAGACGGACAAUGCCCUAAAGGGCACUGCUGUACGGAGAAUGAUGUCGUCAUAGAGUGCACGUUUGACAAGAUGUCCAGCUCACCCCCUCUCUCUGGUACAAAGGAUGUCUGUGCCUUUGAAAAUGGUCAGAAGCUUCUUUCAUUCUCCAGCACAGGGUGCACUUCGUCAGUUUAUCCCAUCAUCCGAAGAGAGGAGGCGUAAUUUAUUAGCUUGGUGACAGGUGACCUCUUUGUGCUGGCAAAAUUAGUGAUGUAUCUAAUGUGAAGUCGAGUGCAGUACAGUCAGAAGCAGUUUCUAGCUGGACUCCUUGUACCCACUGUGGCCUUUGUGUUUGUCUUGGGGGUUCUGCUCCUGUACAUGUUCGUUAGUCGUUAUUAUCACAAGAAACGCAGACAGGAUUAUCAACAAUUACAAGGAGUUAAUGAAGGUGGUGGUGGUGCUCGCGAAGAAGGGAACUAACUGUGAAUUGUGAACAUGAAUUUUGUAUUGAAAUAUGCACUUGUACUUACAAUGUAAUUAGAAAUGUUACUGUGAGUGUAGGAAUGUUAAUUAUUACUUUUUGUUUUUGUACUGCUGCGCCCCCUUUUGCUAUAGAUAAUACUUUGUUGUUGUAAAGAGGCCCUGCGCGUCUCUGUUCCCUUGUAUCUGUGCAUGUAUGUUCUUUCUGUGAUCUCUAUUGUAUUGACCCUGAAACUCUGUCAAUUGUUCGUCGCUAGCUAUAGCUCAAACUGCUAUGCACCAGAUCUCUUGCCAAUAUUUUGUCAUUUCCAAUCAAAUUAAUAAAAACAUCAUUAAAUGUUUGGUAAGUCAGCUCAGAAAUGUUCACAGCAUGUAUGGUUGGUUAUAUUGGUUAACGACUCGAUAGCGUUACAGGUGUCACUAUAAAUAGUAAUCAUUCUACUCUAAUAAUUAUAGGCACAAAAUUCUAUUACCGCAUAUAAUUUAUAAGUAUGUCAACACAAAAGAAUCACUUAAUUCCGAUAAGAAACACAAUCACUAUGAAGAUUAACAGUACCAGCCUACUUGUUCUGGGUAAUGGAUGCAGGUACACUUGAAGUAACAGCACAAUCUUUUCUUCCCUUUCUACUGAGAAGUGGUGCACUGUUUGUUUUCGCCGAUGCUCCCUGGCCAUUGGCAUUACUCAAUGAUCCGGGCUGUUUCUUUGUGUGCCCAUUGCUGGGUUUUGAGGGAGCCGGUCUGUUAGUUUGUCCCGAUGGUUUGGAACUAUUGGUUGACGAUCGCACCUUGACUCCUGUUUUUGGUGGGGGUUGCUGAGGGGCUGUUCUACGACGCCCACCGGGUAGUCCGCUAUACUUAUUUGCUGACGGUCGUCUCUCAGUUCCUGUUACCUGUUUCGAAGUGGAGGAUGGUUUAGAUAAAUCGGACUGUUUUCCAUUGCUGUUUUUAACAUCUUUUUCUUGUGUGCCGUUUAUUAUUCUUUUUGGUUUAUUUGACUUUUUGUCAGCAUUAUUCUUUAAUUUAUUGUUUUGCUGAUUCGGCAAAUCUGUUUUCUUUAAUUCAACACAAUUUCCAUUUUGGUUUGCAAUUAUUCCUUUAGUAUCUGUAGUUUCUAUAUCCCCUGAUAUAUUAGUAGUUUUUUUGGAGCGGUAGCAGCAGCAGCAACACACCAAUAUCAAACUAAAUAUUAAAACACCGACAAUCACAGAGCAGACCACAGCGAUAAUGAUGAUUUCAAAUUGCUCAAGUGCAUCAGAGAGCCCACCAGUGGACUCACCACCACCAGCACCAGCACCAGCACCA
RNA transcript from Halichondria panicea, 2486 nucleotides. RefSeq lists it as uncharacterized. The record is from RefSeq and is a predicted model, not a curated record. Lineage: Eukaryota; Metazoa; Porifera; Demospongiae; Suberitida; Halichondriidae. The transcript is spliced from 7 exons.